GAUGAAGAACGUAGUGAAAUGCGAUAAGUAAUGUGAAUUGCAGAAUUCAGUGAAUCAUCGAAUCUUUGAACGCACCUUGCGCUCCUUGGUAUUCCGAGGAGCAUGCCUGUUUGAGUGUCAUGAAAUUCUCAACCCUUUCAGCUUUCUUUGUUGAUCAGGCUUGGAUGUGGGAGUAUGCGGGCUUCUCAGAAGUCGGCUCUCCUGAAAUGCAUUAGCGGGACCUUUGUUGCCUGGCUUUGGUGUGAUAAUUAUCUACGCCAUUGUAGUCAAGCAGCUUAAAAUGAGGUUUCAGCUUCUAACCGUCUCCCCUGAGACAACUUUUUGACAAUUUGACCUCAAAUCAGGUAGGACUACCCGCUGAACUUAAGCAUAUCAAUAAGCGGAGGA
This 387-nucleotide unclassified non-coding RNA is filed under the name soil metagenome. RNAcentral's name for it is "partial contains 5.8S ribosomal RNA, internal transcribed spacer 2, and large subunit ribosomal RNA". The stretch from base 1 to 120 matches the Rfam family "5.8S ribosomal RNA", at positions 35 to 154 of the family's 154-position model. The record is from RNAcentral.